GAUCUGGCUCAGAACGAACGCUGGCGGCAGGCUUAACACAUGCAAGUUGAGCGGGAUUGUUGAGUAGCUUGCUAUUUAACAUGAGAGCAGCGCACUGGUGAGUAACACGUGGGAACAUACCUUUUGGUGGGGGACAACAGUUGGAAACGACUGCUAAUACCGCAUAAGCCCUAAGGGGGAAAGAUUUAUUGCCGAAAGAUUGGCCCGCGGAAGAUUAGGUAGUAGGUGGGGUAACGGCCUACCUAGCCGACGAUCUAUAGCUGGUCUGAGAGGACGAUCAGCCACAUUGGAACUGAGACACGGUCCAGACUCCUACGGGAGGCAGCAGUGAGGAAUAUUGGGCAAUGGAGGGAACUCUGACCCAAGCCAUGCCGCGUGAGUGAAGAAGGUUUUCGGAUUGUAAAACUCUUUCAGAUGGGAAGAUGAUGACGGUACCAUCAGAAGAAGCACCGGCUAACUUCGUGCCAGCCGCGGC
This 475-nucleotide ribosomal RNA is filed under the name uncultured bacterium. RNAcentral's name for it is "bacterial SSU rRNA". It matches the Rfam family "Bacterial small subunit ribosomal RNA", at positions 15 to 518 of the family's 1533-position model. The record is from RNAcentral.